This 349-nucleotide unclassified non-coding RNA is filed under the name soil metagenome. Its description in RNAcentral is "partial contains 5.8S ribosomal RNA, internal transcribed spacer 2, and large subunit ribosomal RNA". The stretch from base 1 to 120 matches the Rfam family "5.8S ribosomal RNA", at positions 35 to 154 of the family's 154-position model. The record is from RNAcentral.
GAUGAAGAACGUAGCGAAAUGCGAUAAGUAAUGUGAAUUGCAGAAUUCAGUGAAUCAUCGAAUCUUUGAACGCACAUUGCGCCCGCCAGUAUUCUGGCGGGCAUGCCUGUCCGAGCGUCAUUUCAACCCUCGAACCCCUCCGGGGGGUCGGCGUUGGGGAUCGGCCCCUCACCGGGCCGCCCCCGAAAUCCAGUGGCGGUCUCGCCGCAGCCUCUCCUGCGCAGUAGUUUGCACACUCGCACCGGGAGCGCGGCGCGGCCACAGCCGUAAAACACCCCAAACUCUGAAAUGUUGACCUCGGAUCAGGUAGGAAUACCCGCUGAACUUAAGCAUAUCAAUAAGCGGAGGA